Paramuricea clavata is the source of this 229-nucleotide non-coding RNA. NCBI's taxonomy places the organism in Eukaryota, Metazoa, Cnidaria, Anthozoa, Malacalcyonacea, Plexauridae. The record is from the annotation of a GenBank genome assembly.
AGGACAAUUUUGAGUCGAUUUAACCAAGGAUGACGAGGGAUGAACAAGGAUGUAGAGCGCUGAAGAGAAUUCUUCUGUAGGGUGAAAUCGAAAAAAUCUACAUACAGCAAUUCCAAGCAAAACAGAGAAUAUUGAAGAAUUGUAAUAUGUUAGCUGUUUCCAUCGUUGCCAUCAUGGUAUAGUGGUAAAGACUGAGGCCAUCAUGGGCGAAAGUUAUGGACCGUUCCCA